UAUCAAUAAGCGGAGGAA
Molecule: non-coding RNA, 18 nt
Filed under: Arabidopsis thaliana (thale cress)
Lineage: Eukaryota; Viridiplantae; Streptophyta; Magnoliopsida; Brassicales; Brassicaceae
Also listed under: 2 other names
Source: RNAcentral